Molecule: long non-coding RNA, 234 nt
Filed under: Mytilus galloprovincialis (Mediterranean mussel)
Lineage: Eukaryota; Metazoa; Mollusca; Bivalvia; Mytilida; Mytilidae
Source: RNAcentral
AAUUACUGAAGUUUAUAUUUGCUACUUUUCUUCUUAAUUUCAUAUAAAUUUUUUUUUGAUUUUUUUUCUUCGAAAAAUUAGUGGUGUUGAAAUAGGGAAUGGACACAGAUACCUUAUCACAUUUAACCAAAGAAAUGUUGUAUAAUGUCAUCAAUCUGUAUUACACGUAGACAGGAUGUUCUCUAGAAAACUAUACGUUAUACACACCCGAGAAUACACGCACUGUCGUAAAUG